This 213-nucleotide long non-coding RNA is filed under the name Trifolium pratense (red clover). RNAcentral describes it as "long non-coding RNA (TPRA_LNC009678)". Lineage: Eukaryota; Viridiplantae; Streptophyta; Magnoliopsida; Fabales; Fabaceae. The record is from RNAcentral.
ACAAUACUUAAUUGGUUCACCUAUUCAAAGAAUUAAAUCUUUGCUAUGUUAUGACACUACUCAUGUUCUCAAUUUGUGAAUAUUCAUCUCUCUAAUUGGCUUUUUGUGUUGGUUUUUUGCAGGAUCUAUGAAAGAGGUAGGUCAGUUUUAAUUUUUGGGUUCUCAAUCUUAGGUUUGGUUAUAUUUUUCUGUUUCUUUGCUGGUUUUUCUUCU